GGCAGUCCGAGCCGUGCUG
RNAcentral lists this microRNA (19 nucleotides) under Gallus gallus (chicken). RNAcentral describes it as "microRNA Ros-gga". The record is from RNAcentral. Lineage: Eukaryota; Metazoa; Chordata; Aves; Galliformes; Phasianidae.